This 545-nucleotide small RNA is filed under the name Sarocladium implicatum. RNAcentral describes it as "eukaryotic LSU rRNA". It matches the Rfam family "Eukaryotic large subunit ribosomal RNA", at positions 38 to 593 of the family's 3401-position model. The record is from RNAcentral. Lineage: Eukaryota; Fungi; Ascomycota; Sordariomycetes; Hypocreales; Sarocladiaceae.
GCAUAUCAAUAAGCGGAGGAAAAGAAACCAACAGGGAUUGCCUCAGUAACGGCGAGUGAAGCGGCAACAGCUCAAAUUUGAAAUCUGGCCGCAAGGUCCGAGUUGUAAUUUGUAGAGGAUGCUUUUGGCGAGGUGCCUUCCGAGUUCCCUGGAACGGGACGCCAUAGAGGGUGAGAGCCCCGUACGGUCGUGCCACCGAGCCUCUGUAAAGCUCCUUCGACGAGUCGAGUAGUUUGGGAAUGCUGCUCUAAAUGGGAGGUGUACGUCUUCUAAAGCUAAAUACCGGCCAGAGACCGAUAGCGCACAAGUAGAGUGAUCGAAAGAUGAAAAGCACUUUGAAAAGAGGGUUAAAAAGUACGUGAAAUUGUUGAAAGGGAAGCAUUCAUGACCAGACUUGGGCUUGGUUGAACAUCCGGCGUUCUCGCCGGUGCACUCUGCCAGCUCAGGCCAGCAUCAGUUUGCCCCGGGGGAUAAAGGCGGCGGGAAUGUGGCUCCCCUCGGGGAGUGUUAUAGCCCGUCGUGUAAUGCCCUGGGGCGGACUGAGG